CAGCCGCCGCGGUAAUACGAAGGGUGCAAGCGUUACUCGGAAUUACUGGGCGUAAAGCGUGCGUAGGUGGUGGUUUAAGUCCGCUGUGAAAGCCCUGGGCUCAACCUGGGAAUUGCAGUGGAUACUGGGUCACUAGAGUGUGGUAGAGGAUAGUGGAAUUUCCGGUGUAGCAGUGAAAUGCGUAGAGAUCGGAAGGAACAUCUGUGGCGAAGGCGACUAUCUGGGCCAACACUGACACUGAGGCACGAAAGCGUGGGGAGCAAACAGGAUUAGAUACCCGUGUAGUCCCUGUCUCUUAUAC
Molecule: ribosomal RNA, 301 nt
Filed under: uncultured bacterium
Lineage: Bacteria
Description: partial 16S ribosomal RNA
Rfam family: Bacterial small subunit ribosomal RNA
Source: RNAcentral